RNAcentral lists this ribosomal RNA (455 nucleotides) under Clostridia bacterium TSW03CA7. Its description in RNAcentral is "bacterial SSU rRNA". It matches the Rfam family "Bacterial small subunit ribosomal RNA", at positions 24 to 480 of the family's 1533-position model. Lineage: Bacteria; Bacillati; Bacillota; Clostridia. The record is from RNAcentral.
UCAGGAUGAACGCUGGCGGCGUGCCUAACACAUGCAAGUCGAACGAACGAUAAUUAAUGAAGACCUCGGUUGAAUUUAAUUAAAGUUAGUGGCGGACGGGUGAGUAACRCGUAAGUAAUCAACCCAUGACAGAAGGAUAACUAAGAGAAAUUUUAGCUAAAACUUCAUAAAUUAAGACUACGGGAGUAGACUUAAAGAAAACUGAGGUGGUCAUGGACGAGCUUGCGACUGAUUAGCCAGUUGGUGAGGUAACGGCCCACCAAAGCAACGAUCAGUAGCCGACCUGAGAGGGUGAUCGGCCACAUUGGUACUGAGAACGGACCAAACUCCUACGGGAGGCAGCAGUGGGGGAUAUUGCACAAUGGAGGCAACUCUGAUGCAGCAACGCCGCGUGAGUGAAGAAGGCUUUCGAGUCGUAAAACUCUGUCGUAUGGGAAGAAAAAAAUGACGUACCA